This is a non-coding RNA of Chrysemys picta bellii (western painted turtle), 4014 nucleotides long. Lineage: Eukaryota; Metazoa; Chordata; Testudines; Emydidae. The record is from RefSeq and is a predicted model, not a curated record.
GUUUAUGCUGCGCUCCUUCCCUUCCCCCACACGUCCUCCCUGCGUGCGCUGCCCACAUCACCGCCCCGCAUUCCCCGCCUGGCUUCAGCCCCUCAGGCGAUGGCUGAGUGAGGGAGGGGAGGCGGCGGCUGGGGUUUCAUUCGACGCCCACCAGGGGCUGAGCGAGCCUCCUUCAGUGCGCAAACUCGGGGCACCACAUAAAAGCUGGGCUGGCAGCUCUUUACUCUGCCUCGAUGGAGCCGCCACAAGCGGGUCACCGGAGAAGCCGCUAGCAGCGGUGCCGUAGCCUAGGCUUCCCCGUACCUUGGGCACAGAGGGGCUGUAAAGAACCGCUGCUGCGGCAGGAAGGAGUCGGGAUGAAGGGAUCUGGAUGCAGAGGAGGCGGCUGUAACGAGGCAUCGAGUAUGGGGGGAGGGAGUGAUUAAACGUCUUGUGGCCAUGGCGGAGUCUGAGGGUAUUUUUUCCUGUCUAACUCGUGUGCGUGUCUCUGUCUCUCUCUUUCUCUCUCUGUAGGGCGCUUGGUUGGGCUGCUCGCUCGGGUUCUGCCUGUUGUUGCGCGAAAUGGCGGCUGCUGUCUUGGGCCCUAACUAUAGACAGCAACUGAAAAGGAGACAGGACUGUGUCAGGGACAAGUUGGAGAGGAUGGGGCAGAAGGGAUCAAGCCUGGGGGAACUAGGAGAAGAGGUUGUGACCACAAAAAUAUACUCCCCUUGAUGAUAGUCUGAAAUGGAACUCAAGAUUAUCUUCUUUGUAAAGAACUUUAAGAUCUACUCAUAAGCAGCUCUUAUGGAACACUUUUUUUCAUUAGUAUUGAGUUUCACCAUUCUCCUGCUGUCAGCAACUGUCUCUAACACUUUACUAGUGGGUUUAUGUCUCAUCUCCCCCUAAUGCUGGUCCACAUGGAGGAUGCCAACCUCCUUCUGCUAUUGGUUACUCAGCUCAAGAGUCAGGGGUCUGUGCAGUGGAUCUUAAGGUUCCAAUUCUGUCAGUGAACCAUAUAGGUGUCAAUAUAAUGCCAUAUGAUGGAAUUUCUAUAUUUUAGUCUGCUUUAAAAAAAAAAAACCUAGGAUAUUACACACACCAAACUAUGUGAAAUAAAAACAUGGAAGGUUAGAGUCAAGCACUCAAAAGUUUGGAAAUGCCAGAAUGAAGAUUGACAGAAAUUAAGGUUCUACAGGUAGUGUCUCUCUUCUUCCCUCCCCCCUUAAUUUUUAAUUGUGUGAUGCCAUACUGUUUUUUCCCUAAGGCCCCUGCCUCAUUCGGUGGAAAGGGUAGACUUACAUUGGGGAUGAAUCUGAGUUGUGCAGUAAAGGAGGCCCCUGCCUCAUUUGUUGCAGAACCUGGAAGAUGUAUAAUAAUGAGACAAAGGAUUGCAGGAACAGAAAAGGUCUCAUGGUUAAGGUGUUUGAAUGCUGGUUUGGAGAACUGGAUUUUAUCCCUGCCUUUGCUACAGAGUUCCUGUGUAAUGUUAAGCAAGUCACACAAACACCAAAAUUUUCACACGUGGUCACUAACUGUUCUUCAUUUUCUUGGUGCCCAACUUGAGACCCUGGGGCAGGAUUUGCAGAGGUACUGUAAAAUCACAGCUCCCACUGACUUCAGUGGGAGUUGUGCUUGAAUAGAUGAAGUGCUAUAUAUGUUAAGUACUCUGACCAGGUUCUGGGUGUCUCAAAUUGGGCACCCAAAAUUAGUGGAUACUUUUGACCUUAAUCUUUCUGACCCUCAACUCCCCAUCCUGUCAGACAGGGAUAAUACUGUCUUACCUCACACUGGUUUUGUGAAGAUAUUUGUGAUGUACUUGGAUACCGUUAUGAUGAGCUGCAUAGAAAAGACACUGAGUAAAUUAAUAAUUCCAUCUCAGAGCAGGAAUAAGAAUAGUGUGCAGUAAAUAAGAUCUAGGACCAUACAUUGUUCAAUGAGGAUAAAACAAAAAUAUUGAAUCACUGCUCAAUAAGUGAAUACCAUCCAUCUUGUGCACUGAAUAAGGUCUGGGUCCUGUAGGGAAAAAUAGUAUGGUGAUCAUGUAUGUACAAGGGGGCCGUGUUAAGGUUAUACAGGCAACAUUAAUUCUGGUACUUCCUAACAUUUUGAGUGCUUGACUUUGCAAUCUUAACAUAAUUUUUUUUUAGUGUAAUAUAUGUAGAGAUGAGUAAAACUUGACUUUGCAUACACACUUUUUAAACACAAUACACCAUGAAUGCUUUCCAGAAUGAUCUUGUUUAAUCAGUUAAAACAAUGAACUUACUGAUGGAGUUAGCUUUACUUUUAUAGCAAAUUUUUAUUGUAAUUCCAGUAUUUUUAAGUUAUCAAUAAUGCUAGCAGUGGGGUUGUUUAGAAUUAAAAAAUUCUGAAGUUUUAGAGAAGUUUGAACACCAUAUUCAAACAAAAAUAGAAGUAAGCUGCAUGGAAUUAAUUCCUUGUGGUUUAUGUCAACUGAACUCUUUUUCAUUGUUCCUUUUGGCUGGGAGUUGGUUUGUAUCUCGUUCUAGUCCAGUCAUUGUUAUGUACAGUCUUUGCUCUGUGUGCCAAAGUAACUCCCAUAAAUCUUGGGUGGAGACAUAUGCACACUGAAAAGUUCUGCUUUAUUGUUAACCGCUUUACUCCUGCGAAUGUGUCUGAAAGUGAUUUGGGUUAACAAUACUCCUUUCAUGUGUAAAGAUCACAAACUGACUCAGUCCAUAGAGAGGAAUCAUUUCACCAGUCACUGCAGUACAGCCACCUCUGGGGGUGAAAUAUUGCAGCUGUUUAACAGCGCAUAGUUUAGAAAAGAAUCAUGUCCAAAUGAAAGUGCAGGGAGACUUCUUAGUAGAUAGACUGUAAGUUGGAAUUUGGCCAGGACAACUUAUUUUUAUGUAUUAACUAGCUUAUGGAAUUAAACCUAGUUCUCUUUUUAUAGUGCUUUUCAUCUGUAGAUUUCAAAGCCCUUUAUGAAGGAGGUAAGGAUCAUUCUCACUCUAUCUGUAAAAUAGGAAGUGAUGCACGGGGAGAUGCAGUGACUUGCCCAGUGUCACCCAGUAGGUCAGUGGCUGAGCUGGAAAUAGAGCCCAGGUUUCUUGAGUCCCAAUCCAGUGGUCUGUCCUCUGCCUGCCUGUGCAUGGGGCUUCAGAUUUUGCAUCUCAUCAGAAAGACAGCAUCUCAGGUAGCUAAUGGUGUGCUCAUGCAUUGGUUCAAUACUAUCUCUGAGGGAAGAAUAUCACCUAUUGAAUCAUAAACUUCACUUCCUUCGGCCUUUGGGUUUUCCUUGCAGCUUUCCCAUACACAUAAGUACCAACCCUGCACAGCAUAGGAUUACUGACAAGUUCAUAACUAAGUUGAAACAUAUAUUCUACAUUGUUUAGCUUGUCUUGUAAUACUUUCCAAUUGUCAGAUUGUGAGGUGAUGCUGAAUGAAGUAUAUAGCAGGGCUCUGUUCUGCCUCUAAUAUUAGAGUACUUUAAUUCAUAUCUUGGAUAAUGGAAUAGAGCAUAUGCUAAUCAAACUCAAUUAUACAAAACUGGAAAGGAUCACAAAUAAACUUUUGAGAGGUUCCUCAGCCAUCUUAGAAGUUUUUAUUAGUAGGGGGGGAAGGGGAAUAGACCUUAACAUGCUAGAAAAGUGUUUUUUGUGUUUUUGUCCGUCCCCGUCUCUCCCCCCUCGCCCCCCCCCCACCUGCCCAAUGGCUGAAGGGAUUUCCUCUCCAACCUUUUAAAAAAAAAAAAAAAAAAAAAAACAACUUCUUGGAACAGAACAAAGUUUUCAGCUCCAAAGCAGAAUUCUUCAGAAAGUUGUGAGCAUGGAAAAUACCAUCAUAAUGAAAGCCUCAACAUUAAACUCACCUACCAGUGAAAAUGAUAGUGAAGGUAAUGCAUUACAAGCCUUAUCAUUACAAAAGCAAUCCUUUUGGUGAUUUGAUACUAGAAAUUCCAUCGGUGCGGCUAUUUAAAAAUUAACAAUGUGCUUUAGUACAAUCUGAGCUGUUAUUGACUGUUUUUUUUUAAUUUAGAAGAAAUAAAAUCUUACAAUUUCUGUAACAGUA